This 72-nucleotide transfer RNA is filed under the name Microcoleus asticus IPMA8. RNAcentral describes it as "tRNA-Thr". It matches the Rfam family "tRNA". From Rfam's summary of the family: Transfer RNA (tRNA) molecules are approximately 80 nucleotides in length. Their secondary structure includes four short double-helical elements and three loops (D, anti-codon, and T loops). Further hydrogen bonds mediate the characteristic L-shaped molecular structure. tRNAs have two regions of fundamental functional importance: the anti-codon, which is responsible for specific mRNA codon recognition, and the 3' end, to which the tRNAs corresponding amino acid is attached (by aminoacyl-tRNA synthetases). tRNAs cope with the degeneracy of the genetic code in two manners: having more than one tRNA (with a specific anti-codon) for a particular amino acid; and 'wobble' base-pairing, i.e. permitting non-standard base-pairing at the 3rd anti-codon position. The record is from RNAcentral. Lineage: Bacteria; Bacillati; Cyanobacteriota; Cyanophyceae; Oscillatoriales; Microcoleaceae.
GCAGGUGUGAUGUAAUUGACAAGAUGAGGCUUUUGUAAAGCUUUCUUGCCAGUUCAAAUCUCGCCAUCUGCU